Non-coding RNA from Phyllosticta paracitricarpa, 122 nucleotides. NCBI's taxonomy places the organism in Eukaryota, Fungi, Ascomycota, Dothideomycetes, Botryosphaeriales, Phyllostictaceae. The record is from the annotation of a GenBank genome assembly.
GGGUCUGUGGUCUAGGGGUAUGACACUCCCUUAGCAACAUUAAUGAUUCUCCUUCACAGGAGGCUUCUAAUAGCGCUAGUAUAGUAUGGGAGAGGUCCCGAGUUCAAUUCUCGGCGGAUCCA